CUUGGUCAUUUAGAGGAAGUAAAAGUCGUAACAAGGUUUCCGUAGGUGAACCUGCGGAAGGAUCAUUACUGAUUUGCUUAAUUGCACCACAUGUGUUUUUCUUUGAAACAAACUUGCUUUGGCGGUGGGCCCAGCCUGCCGCCAGAGGUCUAAACUUACAACCAAUUUUUUAUCAACUUGUCACACCAGAUUAUUACUAAUAGUCAAAACUUUCAACAACGGAUCUCUUGGUUCUCGCAUCGAUGAAGAACGCAGCGAAAUGCGAUACGUAAUAUGAAUUGCAGAUAUUCGUGAAUCAUCGAAUCUUUGAACGCACAUUGCGCCCUCUGGUAUUCCGGAGGGCAUGCCUGUUUGAGCGUCGUUUCUCCCCCAAACCGCUGGGUUUGGUGUUGAGCAAUACGACUUGGGUUUGCUUGAAAGACGGUAGUGGUAAGGCGGGAUCGCUUUGACAAUGGCUUAGGUCUAACCAAAAACAUUGCUUGCGGCGGUAACGUCCACCACGUAUAUCUUCAUCCUUUGACCUCAAAUCAGGUAGGACUACCCGUUGAACUUAAGCAUCUUAAUAAGCGGAGGA
RNAcentral lists this ribosomal RNA (574 nucleotides) under Candida albicans. RNAcentral describes it as "eukaryotic LSU rRNA". The stretch from base 208 to 361 matches the Rfam family "5.8S ribosomal RNA". The record is from RNAcentral. Lineage: Eukaryota; Fungi; Ascomycota; Pichiomycetes; Serinales; Debaryomycetaceae.